UACAUGGGGUGCAAACGUUGCUCGGAAUUAUUGGGCGUAAAGCGCACGUAGGCGGUUUGUUAAGUCGGAUGUGAAAUCCCUCGGCUCAACUGAGGAGGUGCACCCGAAACUGGCAGGCUUGAGUACUAAAGAGGGUCACGGAAUUCCCGGUGUAGAGGUGAAAUUCGUAGAUAUCGGGAGGAACACCGGUGGCGAAGGCGGCGACCUGGGUAGAUACUGACGCUGAGGUGCGAAAGCGUGGGGAGCAAACAGG
This 253-nucleotide ribosomal RNA is filed under the name uncultured bacterium. Its description in RNAcentral is "partial 16S ribosomal RNA". It matches the Rfam family "Bacterial small subunit ribosomal RNA", at positions 524 to 776 of the family's 1533-position model. The record is from RNAcentral.